This 253-nucleotide unclassified non-coding RNA is filed under the name uncultured Alphaproteobacteria bacterium. RNAcentral describes it as "contains 16S-23S intergenic spacer region". It matches the Rfam family "Bacterial small subunit ribosomal RNA", at positions 524 to 776 of the family's 1533-position model. The record is from RNAcentral. Lineage: Bacteria; Pseudomonadati; Pseudomonadota; Alphaproteobacteria.
UACGGAGGGGGCUAGCGUUGCUCGGAAUUACUGGGCGUAAAGGGCGCGCAGGCGGAACACAUAGUCAGACGUGAAAGCCCCGGGCUUAACCUGGGAAUAGCGUUUGAUACUUGUGAUCUGGAGUCUCGGAGAGGGUGGUGGAAUUCCCAGUGUAGAGGUGAAAUUCGUAGAUAUUGGGAAGAACACCAGUGGCGAAGGCGGCCACCUGGACGAGUACUGACGCUGAGGCGCGAAAGCGUGGGGAGCAAACAGG